This is a long non-coding RNA of Asparagus officinalis (garden asparagus), 152 nucleotides long. RefSeq lists it as uncharacterized. Lineage: Eukaryota; Viridiplantae; Streptophyta; Magnoliopsida; Asparagales; Asparagaceae. The transcript has 2 exons. The record is from RefSeq and is a predicted model, not a curated record.
UUCUUUUUCCCGAUUCAAGUAAACAUAAAGUGCAUUUGAGGUGGUUACCACUUCUCGAAGACUUUGACGUGUGUGGGACAUUAUCCUGGGGUAGUGCUGUUUUAGCAUAUCUAUAUCGAGAAAUGUCAAAGGUUGCUUUAAUGCAAAAUAAA